AGCGAACGCUGGCGGCAGGCCUAACACAUGCAAGUCGAACGAACCUUUCGGGGUUAGUGGCGGACGGGUGAGUAACACGUGGGAACGUGCCUUUAGGUUCGGAAUAACUCAGGGAAACUUGUGCUAAUACCGAAUGUGCCCUUCGGGGGAAAGAUUAAUCGCCUUUAGAGCGGCCCGCGUCUGAUUAGCUAGUUGGUCGAGGUAAUGGCUCACCAAGGCGACGAUCAGUAGCUGGUCUGAGAGGAUGAUCAGCCACAUUGGGACUGAGACACGGCCCAAACUCCUACGGGAGGCAGCAGUGGGGAAUCUUGCGCAAUGGGCGAAAGCCUGACGCAGCCAUGCCGCGUGAAUGAUGAAGGUCUUAGGAUUGUAAAAUUCUUUCACCGGGGACGAUAAUGACGGUACCCGGAGAAGAAGCCCCGGCUAACUUCGUG
Molecule: ribosomal RNA, 434 nt
Filed under: uncultured bacterium
Lineage: Bacteria
Description: partial 16S ribosomal RNA
Rfam family: Bacterial small subunit ribosomal RNA
Source: RNAcentral